GCAUACCCAUCACCACUGUUGCAGCUGAGUCAGCUUUCAGUGUUGCGUCCUUUCAGAAAUCGAAUUCUUCCCAAAAAUGUGCAAGCACUAAUUGCCACUCGAAAUUGGCUAAGAGGAUUUGAAGAGUUUGAAGGAAAUAUUGAAGAUUACUUCGAUGAUGAAGAUGAUGAAUCUGUAAAAAGUAGCUCAGAAGUUAGAGACUCUAGCACAUGAAGCAAGAUGAAGAUGUGGGGUUGUCAUUCUGUGACAAGGAAGUAAUAGAGUCAAUGAAAAAUUGAAAAGAAAGAAGUCAUAUGCGUUAGAAGAGCCCAAGAGCAGAAGGAACCUUUAUCAAAAUAGAACUUUUUUACAAUUUUUACAAUGUCUUAGACUUGUUUUUUUUUCAAACUAAGUGUCGUGGUUUGCUAUUUAUAUAAGACUCAAACCUUUGAUUUAAUGUUAUUUGAUUUAACUUUUUAUAUGA
Long non-coding RNA from Brassica oleracea var. oleracea, 463 nucleotides. RefSeq lists it as uncharacterized. NCBI's taxonomy places the organism in Eukaryota, Viridiplantae, Streptophyta, Magnoliopsida, Brassicales, Brassicaceae. The record is from RefSeq and is a predicted model, not a curated record. The transcript is spliced from 3 exons.